This 1191-nucleotide long non-coding RNA is filed under the name Gossypium barbadense (sea-island cotton). RNAcentral's name for it is "long non-coding RNA (GBAR_LNC018223)". Lineage: Eukaryota; Viridiplantae; Streptophyta; Magnoliopsida; Malvales; Malvaceae. The record is from RNAcentral.
AAAUCUUUGUUUUCAUAGCAAAAAUCCCCCCCUUUUACAAAUGCUUAUUUCUCAGCUUUAUAGCCGACUACAAAACUAGGAAAAUAUUGUUUAUCUUUUGUCCUAUUCUGUUUGGUCUGCUUCUGUCUUUGCAGGGUAUGGAGGAGCUGGUGGUGGAGGAGGAGCAUGCAGCGGCAGAUGGUGUCAGACGCGUGGGGGUAUGGGGCUGCUAUAGUGGAGCAGUGUAUGGGGCUAAGUACAAGUGGGGAGGGUUGCGGCUGAGUAGGCUAAGGUUUCUGAAACCCUAAGUCUGGAGUUUGGGCUUCUGGGCCUGGGUCAAGUGUUGGGUUUUGGGUAGUUGGGCUAAGGUUUGGGCAGGGGUUUUAGUGUAUUGAAAUGGAUCAAUCGGGUUUGGGUUGUAAGAGGGGGAAAUGGGCUUGGUAUUAGUGGGCCAAAAUUGGCCUACUACAAUCACAAACCAAAGCAAUAAAUAAUUUUUAACCUACAACCUGAUAAAAAACUUAAAUAGUAAAAUUAUUAAGAAAAGCUUUAAUGGAAACUUUUAGAUAAUAAUAAAAACAAGAUGCUAGUCCGAGGUUCCUCCGAUGCCAUUACGAGUCCUAGUUUUCUGCCCUGAGAGAUAAGGAAAGGGGAAAGUGAGCUUAUGACAACCCAAUGUGAGUCUAAUUUUUAAACCAUUAUAUAUAAUUGUUCAAAAAAUAAAACAUUCAAUCUAUAGCAUCAUAGCAAAUUAAGCAUAAUGUGAGAAACAUUCAGUAAUUCAAUGCAUGUACAUGUUAUGUUCAUGAUGCAAUGCAAUGCAAUUUUAAAUUUGAAGUUCCCACCCAUCCAUUCUAUCCACCCUUGAGCAUCGUUUGACACUCCAAAACACAAGUCAAUAACUCACCAUCCCCCAUUUCCUGGUGACGAUGGUCGUUCACUUGUCAUUCGUGAUGAUGACUUUUACUACAAUAAUUUACCAUUUCGGUUGCUCAGUUUCGAUGGUUUUUUAAACUAUCAUCUUGGUUUACCCGAUUUCGAUGACAUUGUCGCCUACUUCGUGCGGUACUAACUUUCGAUGUGAACUUCAAUUGUCACUUUCUCCUAUGGAACUCAUCCGUCCUCCAUACUCAUUUUCAUGUAAUCAUGCACAUAAACUCAGCAUACCAUGCUAUUUAUCAACAAUCAAUUCUAUGCUUAUCAAACACAUUU